Molecule: ribosomal RNA, 468 nt
Filed under: uncultured bacterium
Lineage: Bacteria
Description: partial 16S ribosomal RNA
Rfam family: Bacterial small subunit ribosomal RNA
Source: RNAcentral
GACGAACGCUGGCGGCGUGCUUAACACAUGCAAGUCGAACGGAAAGGCCCUGCUUUUGUGGGGUGCUCGAGUGGCGAACGGGUGAGUAACACGUGAGUAACCUGCCCUUGACUUUGGGAUAACUUCAGGAAACUGGGGCUAAUACCGGAUAGGAGCUCCUGCUGCAUGGUGGGGGUUGGAAAGUUUCGGCGGUUGGGGAUGGUCUCGCGGCUUAUCGGCUUGUUGGUGGGGUAGUGGCUUACCAAGUCUUUGACGGGUAGCCGGCCUGAGAGGGUGACCGGCCACAUUGGGACUGAGAGACGGCCCAGACUCGUACGGGAGGCAACAGGGGGGAAUAUGACAGAAUGGGGGGAAGCCUGAUACAGCAGCCCCCGGUGCGGGAUGCCGGCUUUCGGGUUGAAAACCGCUGUCGCCUGUAACAAGCCGGGAGUGACGGUAAUGGAUAAAGAAGCACCGGCUAACUACGUG